ACACAAAUAUGAAGGCGGGCUGGAAUCUCUCGGGGUUACAGCCUUGCUGAAUUAUUCACCCUUGUCUUUUGCGUACUUCUUGUUUCCUUGGUGGGUUCGCCCACCACUAGGACAAACAUAAACCUUUUGUAAUUGCAAUCAGCGUCAGUAACAAAUUAAUAAUUACAACUUUCAACAACGGAUCUCUUGGUUCUGGCAUCGAUGAAGAACGCAGCGAAAUGCGAUAAGUAGUGUGAAUUGCAGAAUUCAGUGAAUCAUCGAAUCUUUGAACGCACAUUGCGCCCUUUGGUAUUCCAAAGGGCAUGCCUGUUCGAGCGUCAUUUGUACCCUCAAGCUUUGCUUGGUGUUGGGCGUCUUGUCUCUAGCUUUGCUGGAGACUCGCCUUAAAGUAAUUGGCAGCCGGCCUACUGGUUUCGGAGCGCAGCACAAGUCGCACUCUCUAUCAGCAAAGGUCUAGCAUCCAUUAAGCCUUUUUUUCAACUUUUGACCUCGGAUCAGGUAGGGAUACCCGCUGAACUUAAGCAUAUCAAUAAGCGGAGGAAAAGAAACCAACAGGGAUUGCCCUAGUAACGGCGAGUGAAGCGGCAACAGCUCAAAUUUGAAAUCUGGCUCUUUUAGAGUCCGAGUUGUAAUUUGCAGAGGGCGCUUUGGCUUUGGCAGCGGUCCAAGUUCCUUGGAACAGGACGUCACAGAGGGUGAGAAUCCCGUACGUGGUCGCUGGCUAUUGCCGUGUAAAGCCCCUUCGACGAGUCGAGUUGUUUGGGAAUGCAGCUCUAAAUGGGAGGUACAUUUCUUCUAAAGCUAAAUAUUGGCCAGAGACCGAUAGCGCACAAGUAGAGUGAUCGAAAGAUGAAAAGCACUUUGGAAAGAGAGUCAAACAGCACGUGAAAUUGUUGAAAGGGAAGCGCUUGCAGCCAGACUUGCUUACAGUUGCUCAUCCGGGUUUUUACCCGGUGCACUCUUCUGUAGGCAGGCCAGCAUCAGUUUGGGCGGUAGGAUAAAGGUCUCUGUCACGUACCUCCUUUCGGGGAGGCCUUAUAGGGGAGACGACAUACUACCAGCCUGGACUGAGGUCCGCGCAU
RNAcentral lists this ribosomal RNA (1082 nucleotides) under Alternaria arborescens. Its description in RNAcentral is "eukaryotic LSU rRNA". The stretch from base 485 to 1082 matches the Rfam family "Eukaryotic large subunit ribosomal RNA", at positions 1 to 602 of the family's 3401-position model. The record is from RNAcentral. Lineage: Eukaryota; Fungi; Ascomycota; Dothideomycetes; Pleosporales; Pleosporaceae.